CAGUCGCCGCGGUAAUACAGAGGGUGCGAGCGUUAAUCGGAUUUACUGGGCGUAAAGCGUGCGUAGGCGGCUUUUUAAGUCGGAUGUGAAAUCCCUGAGCUUAACUUAGGAAUUGCAUUCGAUACUGGGAAGCUAGAGUAUGGGAGAGGAUGGUAGAAUUCCAGGUGUAGCGGUGAAAUGCGUAGAGAUCUGGAGGAAUACCGAUGGCGAAGGCAGCCAUCUGGCCUAAUACUGACGCUGAGGUACGAAAGCAUGGGGAGUAAACAGGAUUAGAUACCCCCGUAGUCCCUGUCUCUUAUAC
This 301-nucleotide ribosomal RNA is filed under the name uncultured bacterium. Its description in RNAcentral is "partial 16S ribosomal RNA". It matches the Rfam family "Bacterial small subunit ribosomal RNA", at positions 509 to 807 of the family's 1533-position model. The record is from RNAcentral.